CGUGGGCAACCUGCCUGUAAGACUGGGAUAACUCCGGGAAACCGGAGCUAAUACCGGAUACUAUGUCAAACCGCAUGGUUUGACAUUCAAAGACGGUUUCGGCUGUCACUUACAGAUGGGCCCGCGGCGCAUUAGCUAGUUGGUGAGGUAACGGCUCACCAAGGCGACGAUGCGUAGCCGACCUGAGAGGGUGAUCGGCCACACUGGGACUGAGACACGGCCCAGACUCCUACGGGAGGCAGCAGUAGGGAAUCUUCCGCAAUGGACGAAAGUCUGACGGAGCAACGCCGCGUGAGUGAUGAAGGUUUUCGGAUCGUAAAACUCUGUUGUCAGGGAAGAACAAGUGCCGGAGUAACUGCCGGCGCCUUGACGGUACCUGACCAGAAAGCCACGGCUAACUACGUGCCAGCAGCCGCGGUAAUACGUAGGUGGCAAGCGUUGUCCGGAAUUAUUGGGCGUAAAGCGCGCGCAGGCGGUUUCUUAAGUCUGAUGUGAAAGCCCCCGGCUCAACCGGGGAGGGUCAUUGGAAACUGGGAAACUUGAGUGCAGAAGAGGAGAGUGGAAUUCCACGUGUAGCGGUGAAAUGCGUAGAGAUGUGGAGGAACACCAGUGGCGAAGGCGACUCUCUGGUCUGUAACUGACGCUGAGGCGCGAAAGCGUGGGGAGCGAACAGGAUUAGAUACCCUGGUAGUCCACGCCGUAAACGAUGAGUGCUAAGUGUUAGAGGGUUUCCGCCCUUUAGUGCUGCAGCUAACGCAUUAAGCACUCCGCCUGGGGAGUACGGUCGCAAGACUGAAACUCAAAGGAAUUGACGGGGGCCCGCACAAGCGGUGGAGCAUGUGGUUUAAUUCGAAGCAACGCGAAGAACCUUACCAGGUCUUGACAUCCUUUGCCACUUCUAGAGAUAGAAGGUUCCCCUUCGGGGGACAAAGUGACAGGUGGUGCAUGGUUGUCGUCAGCUCGUGUCGUGAGAUGUUGGGUUAAGUCCCGCAACGAGCGCAACCCUUGAUCUUAGUUGCCAGCAUUCAGUUGGGCACUCUAAGGUGACUGCCGGUGACAAACCGGAGGAAGGUGGGGAUGACGUCAAAUCAUCA
RNAcentral lists this ribosomal RNA (1094 nucleotides) under Metabacillus indicus. RNAcentral's name for it is "bacterial SSU rRNA". It matches the Rfam family "Bacterial small subunit ribosomal RNA", at positions 116 to 1195 of the family's 1533-position model. Lineage: Bacteria; Bacillati; Bacillota; Bacilli; Caryophanales; Bacillaceae. The record is from RNAcentral.